UAAAGUAUUAUUCAAAAAUCUCUCCUCUCAUACUAUUAAGGUAUUACGACGAUGCUGCUUGUGUGCUAAGAAAAAUGUGUUUAGACGCAAAGGCUCCUCAUCUUUCAUCGACUCUGCCACUCACUUUACCUUGGAAGUUCAAUAAACAUGUACAACCUAAUAAAGGACUAACCCGCCAAGGCAAUGGGAACUCAGAAGAGCUACGUUGUGUCAUUGCUGUUAUUCGACAGUAUGUUUUCUUAGCAUAUAAAUCACCUUUAUCUCCUCUAUACUUCUAUCUGUUAAAAUUUUGUAAUUACAUGACCAUGGCGAUCGAACUCCAAAACAGAAGGUGAAACUAAAUGUUACAGAGGAGAAACUGUUAAACCUGAUGCUGAAGUACAAUGAUGGAAAGCCAAGAGCUGAGACAAAACUAAAAAGUGCAGUCCAGUUGCAAGACCUAUUAGAUGCAACAAGAAUGUUAGUUCCCCGUACAAGACCAGGUCGUGAGAGUGAUAGUGAUCCAGAAGACCUUGAACAUGCUGAGAAGCUU
Long non-coding RNA from Brassica napus (rape), 532 nucleotides. RefSeq lists it as uncharacterized. The transcript has 3 exons. Lineage: Eukaryota; Viridiplantae; Streptophyta; Magnoliopsida; Brassicales; Brassicaceae. The record is from RefSeq and is a predicted model, not a curated record.